UUGUAUUGGCGUUACCUAUAAAACAAGACAUGCAUGCUCAGAGAGAACACACAUGAGAAGCUGUGACAGGAAGGAGAACGCAUCAUGAAGCGUUCCACUUCCACUUCAACUCCAUCUUCGUCCUUGGUACGCAGCGUUGUGAUCCUUGCUCUGAUAUGCUGUUCCCACGUCGUCAUCAUGUGUGUAUUGUGCAUGCAGCACGUAUUUAUGUUUGGGGUGAGGAUUGAUGGUUCAUGCUCAUGCAUAUGCACGCAGUUGCUCUUGACGGAAGCCAUGAGCCAACGAGUCCUCCGCCGCCGGUGCCAGGUCCCCAGAUGUCUCCGUCUCCAGUUCCAAUGCCUCCGGUCCAUCCUCCGCCGCCACCGCCGCCCAUGCCGGAGAUGUCAGCACUGGCGCCGCACCGCAAGACCCUGCAGCAAGCUGUCAGGGACGCCAUUUAAUUAUGCAUGAAACAGUGCUGCUCAUAUAUUAUUUUCGUCUAUGUAUGAUCUAUCAUGGUCCUAAGUAAUUGAGACGAUAAAUAAUGAUAUUAGCGUACAUAUGUACUCUCUUCAUUUUUUUUACUUCACGUAUAAAAUUUGGUCAAAGUCAAACUAUACAAAGUUUGACCAAAUUUAUAUAAAAGAAUUAUGAAUAUCUGCAAUA
Molecule: long non-coding RNA, 645 nt
Filed under: Triticum aestivum (bread wheat)
Lineage: Eukaryota; Viridiplantae; Streptophyta; Magnoliopsida; Poales; Poaceae
Description: long non-coding RNA (TAES_LNC024985)
Source: RNAcentral